Long non-coding RNA from Gossypium raimondii (Peruvian cotton), 529 nucleotides. RefSeq lists it as uncharacterized. Lineage: Eukaryota; Viridiplantae; Streptophyta; Magnoliopsida; Malvales; Malvaceae. The record is from RefSeq and is a predicted model, not a curated record. The transcript is spliced from 2 exons.
AAAAAUGGAGGAUUUUGUUCAGACACGGUCAAAUUAUCCAGUUUUUUCUUUUACCAUCCAAAAAAGGAGAAAAUUGACAUUAUAUGGAUAGUAAAGUACCGUCUGAAAAGUUUACUCAGGAGCUAGCUCGCGAGUUGCUUAUUGCGAUAUCUUAUUCUGUACCUGGUACUGAUCCGAAUUCAGAUCAUGCAUUGAAAAUCAUAGAUGGUGCAAAUGGCGCUGUGGCUGCAAUCGACAAAGCUGAAAAAUAUAGAUCUGAACUGAUUUCGAUAUCCGAUACGUCUCCUGAUGCUCAAGUGCCUCCUGUUGUGCUUGGGAACCAUGCAGGUUAAAGGAGACAAAAUUGUAAUGGGAGAUUUUAAUACAUACAGUGGCUGUUAAUGAUUUCUAGAACUGAACUUGUUGUAGUGUUGUGUGAUUUUUACACCUAAUGUGGAUUUGUUUCGCUUGUGAUUCUCCCCGUAUCAAUGUAAAUAAGGAAACAUACUUUUGUAGAGACCAUGUUGUGUUAAAAACUCAAAUUUCUGAA